AAUAACCCUUUUCAUCUCAUCUUCUUACCUCACUCGGCCGCCGUCGCCACCGCUACCGUCAGCUGCACCGCCGUAGACCACCACAAUCAACUGCACCUUCGUAGAUCACUGCCACUGGCUGCACCGCCGGCGAAUGCUGCAAGAUCAAGCUUUUAAAGAUUAACAUUGAUGCCUAUAGGAAGAUUGCCAUUGGAAGCUUUGAAUGCAAGAUGAGCUACUACUACAACUCUUUAUGUUUCUCGUAGACUAGACUACUUUCAUAAAUGUGGAAUAUAAACAUUAUAUAUGCAAAAACGGGGCCGGUGAUAAACCGGACAACACAUUAGUACAAAAGACAUGAAAACUUUCAUGUUUGCUAAACGUGUUAGGAAAACAGCCACUCAUCUGUACAGAAAUCCUGCGAUUCAAGCUGCAAACGACCCCCUUCACCUUCAAGCUGCAAACGACCUCCCUACUGUUACAUGAAUUUCUAAUUUAUCGAACCUGAAAUUAUAUGAUAUUUUAAUGAUUAUUACUUGCUGUUGUUUAAAACAUGGAAAAUUGCUAGUUGUUUCUGAAUUUCU
RNAcentral lists this long non-coding RNA (563 nucleotides) under Helianthus annuus (common sunflower). RNAcentral's name for it is "hypothetical non coding rna". Lineage: Eukaryota; Viridiplantae; Streptophyta; Magnoliopsida; Asterales; Asteraceae. The record is from RNAcentral.